RNAcentral lists this ribosomal RNA (251 nucleotides) under uncultured Coprococcus sp. Its description in RNAcentral is "partial 16S ribosomal RNA". It matches the Rfam family "Bacterial small subunit ribosomal RNA", at positions 524 to 774 of the family's 1533-position model. Lineage: Bacteria; Bacillati; Bacillota; Clostridia; Lachnospirales; Lachnospiraceae. The record is from RNAcentral.
UACGUAGGGGGCAAGCGUUAUCCGGAAUUACUGGGUGUAAAGGGUGCGUAGGUGGCAGGGCAAGUCAGAAGUGAAAACCCGGGGCUCAACUCCGGGACUGCUUUUGAAACUGUCCAGCUAGAGUGCAGGAGAGGUAAGCGGAAUUCCUAGUGUAGCGGUGAAAUGCGUAGAUAUUAGGAGGAACAUCAGUGGCGAAGGCGGCUUACUGGACUGAAACUGACACUGAGGCACGAAAGCGUGGGGAGCAAACA